This 492-nucleotide ribosomal RNA is filed under the name uncultured bacterium. Its description in RNAcentral is "partial 16S ribosomal RNA". It matches the Rfam family "Bacterial small subunit ribosomal RNA", at positions 29 to 507 of the family's 1533-position model. The record is from RNAcentral.
AGUGAACGCUGGCGGUAGGCCUAACACAUGCAAGUCGAACGGCAGCACAGUAAGAGCUUGCUCUUACGGGUGGCGAGUGGCGGACGGGUGAGGAAUACAUCGGAAUCUACUUUUUCGUGGGGGAUAACGUAGGGAAACUUACGCUAAUACCGCAUACGACCUACGGGUGAAAGCAGGGGAUCUUCGGACCUUGCGCGAUUGAAUGAGCCGAUGUCGGAUUAGCUAGUUGGCGGGGUAAAGGCCCACCAAGGCGACGAUCCGUAGCUGGUCUGAGAGGAUGAGCAGCGACACUGGAACUGAGACACGGUCCAGACUCCUACGGGAGGCAGCAGUGGGGAAUAGUGGACAAUGGGCGCAAGCCUGAUCCAGCCAUACCGCGUGGGUGAAGAAGGCCUUCGGGUUGUAAAGCCCUUUUGUUGGGAAAGAAAAGCAGCAGGUUAAUACCCCGCUGUUCUGACGGUACCCAAAGAAUAAGCACCGGCUAACUUCGUG